AUUCGAUCUCUGGACAGCUAGGGCGAAAGCAGCAGGAUACGAGAAGAAGUGGAGAAAACUAUUAGAAGAAGACAGAAGAACCAUGUCGAAUAGGACCAAUUCUUCGUUGUCUGGUCUAAUGCCUAUCGAAUCAUUGGUGCCGCUACUAAUUGCCUAUGUUCUAACGACAACUUUAGCGGUAUUUGGAAAUAGUUUAGUUAUAGUCGUUUUCUCGUGUGGUAGGAGGUCUAGGAGCGAUUUAAGAGGCUUUCUUAUCAAUUUAGCAGUUGCCGAUUUAGUCAUGGCUAUUUUCUGCACACCUUUUACAUUUACCCAUACGAUAAUGAACCAUUGGCCAUUCUCCAAUGCCUUGUGCCCGCUGGUUCUAUACAUGCAACUAGUGUCAGGUUACCCUUUUUUUAUUUUAUUCUAUUUGCUUAUCAUCACUAAUUUUCCGUCCAUUUGUACGUUUAUCUUUAUAUCUAUCUAUUUAAUAUAUUCAUUGUUUUCCCUCGGUUUUUAAAUGCUUUACGGCGCCUCUCAUCUAGCUACUCAUAUCUAUUAUUCUUAUAUAAUAUUCUGUUUGUUUUUCUUUCUGUUUGGCAUGGCAUCUAUAUACUAAAUUGUUCAAUUUUAUCGAUGGAGGGCGCUAAUGGUUUCUCAGUCAGGUACAUCUUUUUUGAAUUUGGAUACUAGUAGAGAAUCUUAAAAAAAAUAGAAGAGUAAAAGUAUUUAUUGGCAGCUGUAAUAUAACGGAAAGAGUUUGCCAUGAUUUAUCGUGCUUUUGCUACGGCUUCUCAUCGGUUAGAAUAAGGAAUAAAUUUAGUUUCCACAUAUACAAACUCAGUGUGGACAAACAAGAAUUUUCAUCAAACUAACUAUAACAUUUGUACUUUUAUAGUAAACAGCGAACAAUAGUGUCUGUAAUGUAUUAAUUCUGAACUUAAACGUCCCAAUUCUUUAUUUUUGUAUAUGUUCCUUUUAUUAUUUAUGUAGUAGGAAAAAAAAAGAGAACUCUAUCUUAAUAGAGAGGGAGGGGAGAGAUCGGUAGAGUUAGAAGCGAAACGAAUGAAUAGUUUUAUAUGGAAACCAAACGCACAUCUUAAAAUUAUUAUUGUCGUAUUUACUUUCGUAUUAAAACAUAAAGAUCUAGAUUUAGUAAUUUGUAGUGAAAUCGAUUUUCAAGAUGAAGGGAGAGAAGAAACCUUUUCAAAAAAUAAAGAAAUCCCUCCUUUUAAGGACGCAGGAAGCGGUUAUAAAAAAGCACAGCUAUUUGCCAAAACUUUUCUAUAAAUUAUUUACAAUAACAUUUAAUUUUAUUUCUCUACAUCUCCUAUACUUUUUCCAUUUCGUAUCAAUAAAUGUCUUUUCUUGUUGUCCUCUAUUCUUCAUCAAGUACUUUCUGCAGUUACGGCUUCUGUCUGCACGAAUACAGCACUAGGAUUCGAUCGUUUCUGGAUCGUGGCUUUUCCACUCAAAUCACGCCUGACAAAGUCUAGGGUCAAAGUGGUGAUACUAAUGAUCUGGUUGAUCGCAUUGUCGGCAUCCAGCGUUCAAUUAUUUAUUGGUAGAGCCGUAACAAAUGGAACAAAUACUAAGCCUAUUUGCAGGGAAGAUUGGGAAGAUGAGAAAUCGAGACAAAUUUAUACAUUCUUCGUUUUAUUGACUACCUACGUUGUACCUUUAACAAUUCUUACAGCUACUUACGGCAUGGUAGGAGUCAAACUUUGGCAGAGAACGACACCAGGGAAUGCCGAUCAAGCGAGAGAUAUGCAGCAGUUAAGGAGUAAACGAAAAGUAAUUAAAAUGUUGGUCGUCAUUGUUGCCUUAUUCGCUAUUUGCUGGCUACCCUUACAUUUAUUUAUGAUUGUAUUAGAUUCUGUUCCCUCAUGGACUAAAAAGACGGAAUUACAACCUAUAUUAAAUGGUAUCUAUUACACUGUUCAUUGGCUGGCCAUGUCGAACAGCUGUGUUAACCCAAUAGUAUACAGCUUCCUAAACGACAGCUUUCGAGCCGAUUUGAAGCGUUUAGUACGGAACUGGUGUAAUUGCUUUAAGGGACGGAGGGACGGAGAAUAUGCUAGGACGCUUGUACGUGACUAUUCUCGCAGCGAUCGAGCGUCUCUGAAAGGCUGUGACACGAAUCGGCGUCUCUUGUCAAGUCGUAACCAACACGAAGAUGGAGGCGAAUUAGGGCAGGUCGUAAUCGCUUUGCGAAACGUCGGAGAAAGACAACGCGAUUCGGAUUUGAAUCGACUCUGACAACUUACAAUCUUGCUUCUAGGUUAACAGUUGCUUUAUAGAUAAACAUAGAUAUUCGACUCUUCAAACCUUGAAGAAUCUUCUUACUUUACACAAAGUUAUUUCAGGACAGAAGACAAGACAGUAGACAGCACGAAGAAAAGGAACAUAGCGCCACAAAAAUAACCUCAUUUUCAUUACCUAAAAAGACAAAAAACUACUAAUUCUUUCUUCAUAUCCAUUUUUAAUGAUGAAAGUUGGACGAAUUGCAAAUAGAUUGAGGCAAAAUUGUCGAAUAUCUAUGUUCAGUCUGUUUAUAAGUUCGUCGUUGUUUUGUGACGAAAGAGAGAUAUUAUAAUUUCAGCACAAAGGGCCGAUGGAAGGAUUCGGUCGCAUCUCUACUAACUUGAUUGCUUGAUGCAAACUGACAAGAUAUUGAUUCUUUGCUCGGUGUGAAUCCUAAUAAUUGAAACAGUUUAUAUCUCGUAAAAAAAUACAUAAUUGCUAGUCUUUGU
This 2735-nucleotide unclassified non-coding RNA is filed under the name Dimorphilus gyrociliatus. RNAcentral's name for it is "g_PROTEIN_RECEP_F1_2 domain-containing protein". Lineage: Eukaryota; Metazoa; Annelida; Polychaeta; Dinophilidae. The record is from RNAcentral.